AGCUCCAAUAGCGUAUACUAAAGUUGUUGCAGUUAAAAAGCUCGUAGUUGAAUUUCUGGUUUCGGAACGCGGUCAGCUCCAAGGAGUUUGUACCAGCGGAUCGGAACCAUCCUCGGGGAGAACAUAUCUGCCAUUAAGUUGGUGGGUAUGGGACCCUCGUCAUUUACUGUGAGCAAAAUAGAGUGUUCAAAGCAGGCUUACGCCGUUGAAUACAUUAGCAUGGAAUAAUAAGAUAGGACCUUGGUCUAUU
Molecule: ribosomal RNA, 250 nt
Filed under: uncultured Chrysophyceae
Lineage: Eukaryota; Chrysophyceae
Description: partial small subunit ribosomal RNA
Rfam family: Eukaryotic small subunit ribosomal RNA
Source: RNAcentral